UGGGCAGAGCGGAAGGCCUAACUUUAACAAGUCGAGCGGUAGAGAGAAGCUUGCUUCUCUUGAGAGCGGCGGACGGGUGAGUAAUGCCUAGGAAUCUGCCUGGUAGUGGGGGAUAACGUUCGGAAACGGACGCUAAUACCGCAUACGUCCUACGGGAGAAAGCAGGGGACCUUCGGGCCUUGCGCUAUCAGAUGAGCCUAGGUCGGAUUAGCUAGUUGGUGAGGUAAUGGCUCACCAAGGCGACGAUCCGUAACUGGUCUGAGAGGAUGAUCAGUCACACUGGAACUGAGACACGGUCCAGACUCCUACGGGAGGCAGCAGUGGGGAAUAUUGGACAAUGGGCGAAAGCCUGAUCCAGCCAUGCCGCGUGUGUGAAGAAGGUCUUCGGAUUGUAAAGCACUUUAAGUUGGGAGGAAGGGUUGUAGAUUAAUACUCUGCAAUUUUGACGUUACCGACAGAAUAAGCACCGGCUAACUCUGUGCCAGCAGCCGCGGUAAUACAGAGGGUGCAAGCGUUAAUCGGAAUUACUGGGCGUAAAGCGCGCGUAGGUGGUUUGUUAAGUUGGAUGUGAAAUCCCCGGGCUCAACCUGGGAACUGCAUUCAAAACUGACUGACUAGAGUAUGGUAGAGGGUGGUGGAAUUUCCUGUGUAGCGGUGAAAUGCGUAGAUAUAGGAAGGAACACCAGUGGCGAAGGCGACCACCUGGACUAAUACUGACACUGAGGUGCGAAAGCGUGGGGAGCAAACAGGAUUAGAUACCCUGGUAGUCCACGCCGUAAACGAUGUCAACUAGCCGUUGGAAGCCUUGAGCUUUUAGUGGCGCAGCUAACGCAUUAAGUUGACCGCCUGGGGAGUACGGCCGCAAGGUUAAAACUCAAAUGAAUUGACGGGGGCCCGCACAAGCGGUGGAGCAUGUGGUUUAAUUCGAAGCAACGCGAAGAACCUUACCAGGCCUUGACAUCCAAUGAACUUUCUAGAGAUAGAUUGGGUGCCUUCGGGGAACAUUGAGACAGGUGCUGCAUGGGCUGUCGUCAGCUCGUGUCGUGAGAUGAUGGAUAGGUUCCGGUUACGAAGCGCACCCUUGAUCCUUAGCUUACCCAGGCCAACCG
Molecule: ribosomal RNA, 1109 nt
Filed under: Pseudomonas sp. M5-31
Lineage: Bacteria; Pseudomonadati; Pseudomonadota; Gammaproteobacteria; Pseudomonadales; Pseudomonadaceae
Description: bacterial SSU rRNA
Rfam family: Bacterial small subunit ribosomal RNA
Source: RNAcentral